CCUCUCGCGUCAGGAUAUGCCCAGGUGGGAUUAGCUAGUUGGUGAGGUAAUGGCUCACCAAGGCGACGAUCCCUAGCUGGUCUGAGAGGAUGAUCAGCCACACUGGAACUGAGACACGGUCCAGACUCCUACGGGAGGCAGCAGUGGGGAAUAUUGCACAAUGGGCGCAAGCCUGAUGCAGCCAUGCCGCGUGUAUGAAGAAGGCCUUCGGGUUGUAAAGUACUUUCAGCAGUGAGGAAGGUGGAGUCGUUAAUAGCGGCCUCAUUUGACGUUAGCUGCAGAAGAAGCACCGGCUAACUCCGUG
RNAcentral lists this ribosomal RNA (304 nucleotides) under Vibrio sp. enrichment culture clone 044. RNAcentral's name for it is "bacterial SSU rRNA". It matches the Rfam family "Bacterial small subunit ribosomal RNA", at positions 211 to 507 of the family's 1533-position model. The record is from RNAcentral. Lineage: Bacteria; Pseudomonadati; Pseudomonadota; Gammaproteobacteria; Vibrionales; Vibrionaceae.